AACGAACGCUGGCGGCAGGCUUAACACAUGCAAGUCGAACGCGUGCAGCAAUGCACGAGUGGCGCACGGGUGAGUAACGAGUGGAUAUCUGCCUUUUGGUUCGGAAUAACCCCGGGAAACUGGGGCUAAUACCGGAUGGUUCCUACGGGAUAAAGAUUUAUCGCCACAAGAUGAGUCCGCGUCCGAUUAGCUAGUUGGUGAGGUAAUGGCUCACCAAGGCGACGAUCGGUAGCUGGUCUGAGAGGACGAUCAGCCACACUGGGACUGAGACACGGCCCAGACUCCUACGGGAGGCAGCAGUGGGGAAUAUUGGACAAUGGGGGCAACCCUGAUCCAGCCAUGCCGCGUGAGUGAUGAAGGCCUUCGGGUUGUAAAGCUCUUUUGGCGGGGACGAUGAUGACGGUACCCGCAGAAUAAGCCCCGGCUAACUUCGUG
Molecule: ribosomal RNA, 435 nt
Filed under: uncultured bacterium
Lineage: Bacteria
Description: partial 16S ribosomal RNA
Rfam family: Bacterial small subunit ribosomal RNA
Source: RNAcentral